Molecule: ribosomal RNA, 448 nt
Filed under: uncultured bacterium
Lineage: Bacteria
Description: SSU rRNA
Rfam family: Bacterial small subunit ribosomal RNA
Source: RNAcentral
AGAGCGAACGCUGGCGGCAGGCCUAACACAUGCAAGUCGAGCGCCCGUAGCAAUACGGGGGCGGCAGACGGGAUAGUAACACGUGGGAACGCGCCCUUCGGUUCGGAAUAACUCAGGGAAACUUGAGCUAAUACCGGAUACGCCCUUACGGGGAAAGAUUUAUUGCCGAAGGAACGGCCCGCGUCCGAUUAGCUAGUUGGUGAGGUAAUGGCUCACCAAGGCUCCGAUCGGUAGCUGGUCUGAGAGGAUGACCAGCAUCACUGGGACUGAGACACGGCCCAGACUCCUACGGGAGGCAGCAGUGGGGAAUAUUGGACAAUGGGCGCAAGCCUGAUCCAGCCAUGCCGCGUGGAUGAUGAAGGCCUUAGGGUUGUAAAGUCCUUUUAACGGGGAAGAUAAUGACGGUACCCGUAGAAUAAGCCCCGGCUAACUUCGCGCCAGCAGCCGC